GACCUCAAAUCAGGUAGGACUACCCGCUGAACUUAAGCAUAUCAAUAAGCGGAGGAAAAGAAACUAACAAGGAUUCCCCUAGUAACUGCGAGUGAAGCGGGAAAAGCUCAAAUUUAAAAUCUGACGGUCUUUUGGUCGUCCGAGUUGUAAUCUAGAGAAGUGUUAUCCGCGUUGGACCGUGUACAAGUCUCCUGGAAUGGAGCGUCAUAGAGGGUGAGAAUCCCGUCUUUGACACGGACUACCAGUGCUCUGUGAUACACUCUCAACGAGUCGAGUUGUUUGGGAAUGCAGCUCAAAAUGGGUGGUAAAUUCCAUCUAAAGCUAAAUAUUGGCGAGAGACCGGUAGCGAACAAGUACCGUGAGGGAAAGAUGAAAAGCACUUUGGAAAGAGAGUGAAACAGUACGUGAAAUUGUUGAAAGGGAAGCGUUUGAAGUCAG
This 438-nucleotide ribosomal RNA is filed under the name uncultured fungus. RNAcentral's name for it is "eukaryotic LSU rRNA". It matches the Rfam family "Eukaryotic large subunit ribosomal RNA", at positions 1 to 432 of the family's 3401-position model. The record is from RNAcentral. Lineage: Eukaryota; Fungi.